This 374-nucleotide ribosomal RNA is filed under the name uncultured Nitrospirota bacterium. RNAcentral describes it as "bacterial SSU rRNA". It matches the Rfam family "Bacterial small subunit ribosomal RNA", at positions 521 to 896 of the family's 1533-position model. The record is from RNAcentral. Lineage: Bacteria; Pseudomonadati; Nitrospirota.
UAAUACGUAGGGGGCGAACGUUGCUCGGAAUUAUUGGGCGUAAAGGGUGUGUAGGUGGCUGAGCAAGUCAAAGAUGAAAUCCCAAGGCUCAACCUUGGAACUGUUUUUGAAACUGUUUAGCUUGAGGAUAGCUGAGGAGGACGGAAUUCCCGGUGGAGCGGUGAAAUGCGUAGAUAUCGGGAGGAACACCAGAGGCGAAGGCGGUUCUCUAAGUUAUUCCUGACACUAAGACACGAAAGCUAGGGGAGCAAACGGGAUUAGAUACCCCGGUAGUCCUAGCCGUAAACGAUGGGCACUAGAUGUUUCCGCUUCUUGCGGGAGUGUCGAAGCUAACGCAUUAAGUGCCCCGCCUGGGGAGUACGGUCGCAAGGCUG